GAUGAACGCUGGCGGCGUGCCUAAUACAUGCAAGUCGAGCGAACGGACGAGAAGCUUGCUUCUCUGAUGUUAGCGGCGGACGGGUGAGUAACACGUGGAUAACCUACCUAUAAGACUGGGAUAACUUCGGGAAACCGGAGCUAACACCGGCUAAUAUUUUGAACCGCAUGGUUCAAAAGUGAAAGACGGUCUUGCUGUCACUUAUAGAUGGAUCCGCGCUGCAUUAGCUAGUCGGUAAGGUAACGGCUUACCAAGGCAACGAGGCAUAGCCGACCUGAGAGGGUGAUCGGCGACCCUAGAACUGAGACCCGGUCCAGGAUCGUAGGGAGUGCAGCAGUAGGGAAGCAACCGCAAUGGGCGAAAGCCGUAAGGUACAACGGCGCAUGAGUGAUGAGGGUCCGCGGGUAGGAAAACUCUGUUAUAAGGGGAGGACGUAUGUGGAGGUGACUGUGCAGAACGUAGCGGUAUGUAAUUAGAAAGCCACGGCUUACUAGUUG
RNAcentral lists this ribosomal RNA (497 nucleotides) under uncultured bacterium. RNAcentral describes it as "partial 16S ribosomal RNA". It matches the Rfam family "Bacterial small subunit ribosomal RNA", at positions 28 to 507 of the family's 1533-position model. The record is from RNAcentral.